RNAcentral lists this ribosomal RNA (663 nucleotides) under Pseudomonas sp. RNAcentral's name for it is "bacterial SSU rRNA". It matches the Rfam family "Bacterial small subunit ribosomal RNA", at positions 57 to 715 of the family's 1533-position model. Lineage: Bacteria; Pseudomonadati; Pseudomonadota; Gammaproteobacteria; Pseudomonadales; Pseudomonadaceae. The record is from RNAcentral.
GCAAGUCGAGCGGUAGAGAGAAGCUUGCAUCUCUUGAGAGCGGCGGACGGGUGAGUAAUGCCUAGGAAUCUGCCUGGUAGUGGGGGAUAACGUCCGGAAACGGACGCUAAUACCGCAUACGUCCUACGGGAGAAAGCAGGGGACCUUCGGGCCUUGCGCUAUCAGAUGAGCCUAGGUCGGAUUAGCUAGUUGGUGAGGUAAAGGCUCACCAAGGCGACGAUCCGUAACUGGUCUGAGAGGAUGAUCAGUCACACUGGAACUGAGACACGGUCCAGACUCCUACGGGAGGCAGCAGUGGGGAAUAUUGGACAAUGGGCGAAAGCCUGAUCCAGCCAUGCCGCGUGUGUGAAGAAGGUCUUCGGAUUGUAAAGCACUUUAAGUUGGGAGGAAGGGUACUUACCUAAUACGUGAGUAUUUUGACGUUACCGACAGAAUAAGCACCGGCUAACUCUGUGCCAGCAGCCGCGGUAAUACAGAGGGUGCAAGCGUUAAUCGGAAUUACUGGGCGUAAAGCGCGCGUAGGUGGUUCGUUAAGUUGGAUGUGAAAUCCCCGGGCUCAACCUGGGAACUGCAUCCAAAACUGGCGAGCUAGAGUAUGGUAGAGGGUGGUGGAAUUUCCUGUGUAGCGGUGAAAUGCGUAGAUAUAGGAAGGAACACCAGUGG